CCUACGGGUGGCAGCAGUGAGGAAUAUUGGUCAAUGGGCGCGAGCCUGAACCAGCCAAGUAGCGUGAAGGAUGACUGCCCUACGGGUUGUAAACUUCUUUUAUAUGGGAAUAAAAUGUUCCACGUGUGGCUUUUUGUAUGUACUUUAUGAAUAAGGAUCGGCUAACUCCGUGCCAGCAGCCGCGGUAAUACGGAGGAUCCGAGCGUUAUCCGGAUUUAUUGGGUUUAAAGGGAGCGUAGGUGGGUUGUUAAGUCAGUUGUGAAAGUUUGCGGCUCAACCAUAAAAUUGCAAUUGAUACUGGCAGUCUUGAGUACAGUAGAGGUAGGCGGAAUUCGUGGUGUAGCGGUGAAAUGCUUAGAUAUCACGAAGAACUCCGAUUGCGAAGGCAGCUCACUAAACUGCCACUGACACUGAGGCUCGAAAGUGUGGGUAUCAAACAGGAUUAGAUACCCUUGUAGUC
Molecule: ribosomal RNA, 460 nt
Filed under: uncultured bacterium
Lineage: Bacteria
Description: partial 16S ribosomal RNA
Rfam family: Bacterial small subunit ribosomal RNA
Source: RNAcentral